AGGUGCCUGUCCAUCCAAGAUUAUUAUCGUCCAGACAACUCCGUGAAGAGCAUACCGUUCUCCAACUUUAACCGCACCGAAAAGAAAACGAUUGGGACGCUAAUAAAAUAUGUUCGACUGGAAAUAAAUUCUCCUGGAAAGUUCCGCGUAAACUUUUUGUACAGCGACAUAUCGCAUCUGUCUGACGGAGGAAUCCCCCUGAUUCGUGUUCAAAAGUCGUUGAGGGAUUAUCGGAAACUUCCUGUGCCAUUACCGCGUGGAAUUUCUUUCUGAAAAUAGUUGUAAAGAAUCCGGGGUCAGAAAUUGUAUUGCCACCAAAAAAACAAGAGGUGACCUUCAAAUAACCUUCCCUGAACAUGAGCUAAAUGGACGCCAGACUUGG
Molecule: long non-coding RNA, 382 nt
Organism: Anoplophora glabripennis (Asian longhorned beetle)
Lineage: Eukaryota; Metazoa; Arthropoda; Insecta; Coleoptera; Cerambycidae
Exons: 3
Source: RefSeq, a predicted model, not a curated record